Molecule: ribosomal RNA, 483 nt
Filed under: Enterococcus casseliflavus
Lineage: Bacteria; Bacillati; Bacillota; Bacilli; Lactobacillales; Enterococcaceae
Description: bacterial SSU rRNA
Rfam family: Bacterial small subunit ribosomal RNA
Source: RNAcentral
GACGAACGCUGGCGGCGUGCCUAAUACAUGCAAGUCGAACGCUUUUUCUUUCACCGGAGCUUGCUCCACCGAAAGAAAAAGAGUGGCGAACGGGUGAGUAACGCGUGGGUAACCUGCCCAUCAGAAGGGGAUAACACUUGGAAACAGGUGCUAAUACCGUAUAACACUAUUUUCCGCAUGGAAGAAAGUUGAAAGGCGCUUUUGCGUCACUGAUGGAUGGACCCGCGGUGCAUUAGCUAGUUGGUGAGGUAACGGCUCACCAAGGCAACGAUGCAUAGCCGACCUGAGAGGGUGAUCGGCCACACUGGGACUGAGACACGGCCCAGACUCCUACGGGAGGCAGCAGUAGGGAAUCUUCGGCAAUGGACGAAAGUCUGACCGAGCAACGCCGCGUGAGUGAAGAAGGUUUUCGGAUCGUAAAACUCUGUUGUUAGAGAAGAACAAGGAUGAGAGUAGAACGUUCAUCCCUGACGGUAUCUACCA